AUUCUGCCCAUGCGGGGAAGGAUGAGAAGCUUCGACCAAGGUUCGACUCGAGCGCCAGCGAGCGAGCGUUGCCGCAGGCAACGACCCGAAGGGCGAAGCGCGCAGCGCUGAGUAAUCCUUCCCCCACCACCA
RNAcentral lists this small RNA (132 nucleotides) under Escherichia coli. RNAcentral's name for it is "RtT sRNA". It matches the Rfam family "RtT RNA". From Rfam's summary of the family: This family represents a bacterial cis-regulatory element known as RtT RNA. The record is from RNAcentral. Lineage: Bacteria; Pseudomonadati; Pseudomonadota; Gammaproteobacteria; Enterobacterales; Enterobacteriaceae.